This 374-nucleotide ribosomal RNA is filed under the name uncultured bacterium. Its description in RNAcentral is "bacterial SSU rRNA". It matches the Rfam family "Bacterial small subunit ribosomal RNA", at positions 525 to 896 of the family's 1533-position model. The record is from RNAcentral.
ACGUAGGGUGCAAGCGUUGUCCGGAAUUAUUGGGCGUAAAGAGCUCGUAGGCGGUCUGUCACGUCGGCUGUGAAAACUCGGGGCUCAACCCCGAGCCUGCAGUCGAUACGGGCAGACUAGAGUCCGGCAGGGGAGACUGGAAUUCCUGGUGUAGCGGUGAAAUGCGCAGAUAUCAGGAGGAACACCGGUGGCGAAGGCGGGUCUCUGGGCCGGAACUGACGCUGAGGAGCGAAAGCGUGGGGAGCGAACAGGAUUAGAUACCCUGGUAGUCCACGCCGUAAACGUUGGGCGCUAGGUGUGGGGGACCUUCCACGUCCUCCGUGCCGCAGCUAACGCAUUAAGCGCCCCGCCUGGGGAGUACGGCCGCAAGGCUA